RNAcentral lists this unclassified non-coding RNA (253 nucleotides) under uncultured Parcubacteria group bacterium. RNAcentral's name for it is "contains 16S-23S intergenic spacer region". It matches the Rfam family "Bacterial small subunit ribosomal RNA", at positions 524 to 776 of the family's 1533-position model. The record is from RNAcentral.
UACAGAGGCCCCAAGCAUUAUCCGGAAUCACUGGGCGUAAAGGGUGUCAAGGCGGUUAUGUUAGUCGUUCGUUAAAUCUGGGGGCUCAACCUCCAGCCUGCGAGCGAAACGGCAUAACUUGAGGUAGGGAGAGGUGCGUGGAACUCACGGUGUAGGGGUGAAAUCCGUUGAUAUCGUGGGGAACACCAAAGGCGAAGGCAGCGCACUGGCCCUAUUCUGACGCUCACACACGAAAGCCAGGGUAGCGAAUGGG